This is a long non-coding RNA of Erinaceus europaeus (western European hedgehog), 276 nucleotides long. RefSeq lists it as uncharacterized. The transcript is spliced from 3 exons. NCBI's taxonomy places the organism in Eukaryota, Metazoa, Chordata, Mammalia, Eulipotyphla, Erinaceidae. The record is from RefSeq and is a predicted model, not a curated record.
GCCGGACGGCGCGCGAGGGAAGGGUGGCCGGCGACCCGGGCCCGGCGGCCGGACUCCCUCGUAGCACAACUUCGGCGAAACGGGGCUGAGGAACCGGUUCUUCCAAAGAGCAAAGCGAAAAAAAAUGGGUGGAGACAGGAGGCUUGAAUUCAGGACCUUGCACAUGGUAAUAUCGGAACUCAACCAGGUGUAUCACUGCCUACGCUCAAACCAUUUUUGGGUUGCCCGCAAGAAAAAGAUGGCAGAGAAGAAAAUUGGUUUCUCUGAGGAAGCAAG